Long non-coding RNA from Triticum aestivum (bread wheat), 1216 nucleotides. RefSeq lists it as uncharacterized. NCBI's taxonomy places the organism in Eukaryota, Viridiplantae, Streptophyta, Magnoliopsida, Poales, Poaceae. The transcript is spliced from 4 exons. The record is from RefSeq and is a predicted model, not a curated record.
AGGUUCUGCAGCUUCGACGACCCUGGUGAGUCCACGGUCGUGCUCAACUCCCGCCAGCAGGGCGCGAAGGAGUUUCCCCUUGAACCCCAUGACCUGAUUCUCAGGUUGAUUUGAACAAUGUAUAAGGUCGCCACUGCUGGCCGAGUUGGAUACCCAUUUGUGGUCCUUUUUUCCUUGUUCUUGUUGUACAGAUGACAGUUCAUGGAUUUGUGAUAUGAUUGCUUCAGUGAUGAUUUUUGCAGAACCACAUGCCGAUGGUCCACUUGCCUUUGGAAUUAAAGAUCAGCUUACUACACUAACCAGAUAUCAUAUAUAAAUACUCUACUCUACAGCAGUAUGAAGGGAUUUAAGGGCUAGCAAAUAUGUUAAAGAUAGAUACAGAGAAAGGCGAUUAGGGGAGUGGAUUCCGAUAAUGAUGCGGAAAAAAAUUCCUUUGGGUCGAACACAUACUCUUGAAAGAAAGCAAGAAGCUUCUUGGUAAUGGAGAUGGUUCUCUUAUAUUUGGUAGGAGUCAGAAAAAAUCCAGCAUGGAAAAACACCACAUUCAACACGGUGUAAUUAUGAUGAUCUAAACGAGUAUUCCUGGACUUCUGAUUGUUUCUCACUGCCAUGACCAAUACGGGAUGAUGGUGGCUUCUUCAAAUAUGUGCAAGAUAUGUCCUCUUUAGCAUCACUGGAUUUUUGAAAACGUUAUAUCUGAAUUUAGAGUGCACUUCUGCAAAAAAGAUUUUGUCCUGAUUACUAUUUCGAUUUUAUUUCUGUAGGCACUGUGAAAUGAUCGAAUGCCGCUAAACAUUUUGGAGGUUUGUUGUAGGGUGCUCUACCAGGUAUUUUGUUCAGAUAUGCUCUUUCUCUGCCUGCCAUUUUAGCCAUCAGUUGAGAAUUAUAUUCAGGUUAGCAAACAAGUUUCUUGAUACUUAUAAGGCGAACAUACUUAUAAGGUGAACAUACAAAAGAAAUAAAAUCUUGAUGACUUGUGAGCUUUGCCUAUUAACUUAAAAUUAACGCUGACAAGUUUCUUGUUCUGUACCAUGGUAAGUCAUGAGUCUGCUGUCUUGAUACAAGGAAAUAAGGAAAUAUUAGUUUUCUGCUUAUUCGUUCAUAUCUUAUUACUGAAAGGAUUGCCAGUGUAUUAGUAAUUCAAGUUUCACCUUUCGCAGUGUAGUCUGGAAUAUUUGUAAUUAGCAAGAUGAACUCCUAUCAACUACUCCCAAGG